RNAcentral lists this transfer RNA (85 nucleotides) under Felis catus (domestic cat). It matches the Rfam family "tRNA". Rfam says of the family: Transfer RNA (tRNA) molecules are approximately 80 nucleotides in length. The record is from Rfam by way of RNAcentral. Lineage: Eukaryota; Metazoa; Chordata; Mammalia; Carnivora; Felidae.
ACCUGGGUGGCUCAGUCGGUUGAGUGUCUGACUUCGCCUCAGGUCAUGAUCUCACAGUUUGUGGGUUCAAGCCCCGCUUUGGGCU